GCGGUAGUACCCCACCCCUAUUUUCCUCCUUUGAGCGCGUUCCUCCUUCCAUCUCAAGCCCUAAUUUUUCCUGGCGCUGGCACCGCCGCCACCGUCAGUGUAGCUCUACACGGUCACUGUCAUUGCACACCAACGCAUCCUCCUCCUUUUCAUUAGUACAAACCCUAAACCUCAUCUCAUUGCUUACCACUCAUGAUAUCUCUCUCACACGCGAUCUAAAUCCUUGAUGUCGCUACUUGAUCGUCGACUCGCCUCCCUUCGUUCUUCGGUAUCGUCGCCGGUUGUUUUUGUUGCUGCUGGUUGUCACUGCUAUCGUCGCCCAGAAACCAUGGGAUUGUGCUUGCAGUUGUCACGAGCGCAUAAAACAAAAGGGCAGCCUUUUCUUAUUCUUUCCAGCAAAUCAAAUUCAGAUGUUCUCUUCGCGCUAUUCGGUGUGCUAUGCUAAUUCUCGAGGGGCAAGUUAGGAUGGAUGGAAUUGAUACAGGCUUGGAGAAAAUUUUAUUUCAUCUUCGAAUCAUGGAUACCCUUACUCGAUGGUCGAAUGUUCGUCUGAUAACGUAUCAUUGCCAGAAAAUACUUCAAUGUAUUGAAAUGUCAAAACUGAUAUAUAUUUUUUCUAAUUUUGUAAUUAUAAGUAUUCAGUUCUUCGAAUUCCUAUCACGCCGUAAUUGAGAAUACUGCGGGGCUGUUUGUUUAAAGGGUUUGAUAAA
This is a long non-coding RNA of Zingiber officinale, 710 nucleotides long. RefSeq lists it as uncharacterized. Lineage: Eukaryota; Viridiplantae; Streptophyta; Magnoliopsida; Zingiberales; Zingiberaceae. The record is from RefSeq and is a predicted model, not a curated record. The transcript has 2 exons.